This 390-nucleotide long non-coding RNA is filed under the name Gallus gallus (chicken). The record is from RNAcentral. Lineage: Eukaryota; Metazoa; Chordata; Aves; Galliformes; Phasianidae.
CUGCUAAUAAUUUAGAUGAAAAUUUAACCCGUAUCUUCCCAUCAUAGCGUUUCACUAUAAACUGAUCCAGCCCCAGAUUUUCUGGUUGUUUUUCAUUAGGUGUUAUCGAUCUCACGAAAUCCUGCGGCGUCAUAAAAACCUCAGAUUCACCGUGUUCAUUUAUCACCUUCAAAGUGGCAAAGUAUCGGAAGAUUUUGUCUGGCGUGGAGUAGGCUCUGAUCCGGUUCUCAUAUUCCAUCACCUUACGAUCCCUGAAGCCAGAACACUUCUUCUUCUUCCCCCCUUCUGAGUGAGCCUCCUCACUGCCUGAUGCCACGGCCCUCCUGCCUUCAUCGCCACUGCUCUCCCCCUCCUCCCGGUGCUUCACCUUCUCACCCGGCUCUGCCCUUG